CACCCCCCCAUCCUACCGUUCAAGGAUAUGCAUCUUCUCCUCCUCCUCCUCAUAGAGUUCCACCUCCACCACCGCCAUUACCAAGAUGUGGAGCUCCAGCUGCACCACCCCCNNNNNNNGCGGUGGUGGAGGUGGAACUCUACCACCACCUCCUCCUCCUCCUCCUCCUCCGUCACGUGGAGCUCUACCAUCCCCACCACCUCCUCCUUUACAUGGAGCUCCACCCCUGCCACCUCCUUCAUGUGGAGCUCCACCACCCCCACCACCACCUCCUUUACGUGGAGCUCCACCGCCACCUCCACCUCCACCACCUCCUCCCUUGCGUGGAGCCCCACC
This 336-nucleotide unclassified non-coding RNA is filed under the name Hevea brasiliensis (rubber tree). The record is from RNAcentral. Lineage: Eukaryota; Viridiplantae; Streptophyta; Magnoliopsida; Malpighiales; Euphorbiaceae.